Molecule: long non-coding RNA, 357 nt
Organism: Bombus pascuorum
Lineage: Eukaryota; Metazoa; Arthropoda; Insecta; Hymenoptera; Apidae
Exons: 2
Source: RefSeq, a predicted model, not a curated record
AUCAAAGCGAAAUACUCUUAUUUCUUGACUAUGUAAAUGAAUCACGUCCAUCCAGCCGUUAUCGAUUCUUUACACUGUUGAUUUAUAAGUAGAAAGUAGCCGUUAGUCAUGUCGGCUAAUUUCAGGGAUUAUUGUUAAUACAGAUGCUGGUAGUUUAUGAAUGCAAGAUUUGAUUAGACAAUACGAAGAUUAAAAUAAUACUUUAAUAAUAAUCAAUAAAUAGAAAAAUUUUUUCAAGCGCAAAAAGGUGAAGACAUCAGCGUAACGUGCUUUCACCUUCAAUCAAAGAUGAAGAAAGAUGAAAGGACUCGUUUAAAGAAUCAACGAAAUUAUAAAUAAAUCUUCGAUCAAAUAUUA